GACGAACGCUGGCGGCGUGCCUAAUACAUGCAAGUCGAACGCUUUUUCUUUCACCGGAGCUUGCUCCACCGAAAGAAAAAGAGUGGCGAACGGGUGAGUAACACGUGGGUAACCUGCCCAUCAGAAGGGGAUAACACUUGGAAACAGGUGCUAAUACCGUAUAACACUAUUUUCCGCAUGGAAGAAAGUUGAAAGGCGCUUUUGCGUCACUGAUGGAUGGACCCGCGGUGCAUUAGCUAGUUGGUGAGGUAACGGCUCACCAAGGCAACGAUGCAUAGCCGACCUGAGAGGGUGAUCGGCCACACUGGGACUGAGACACGGCCCAGACUCCUACGGGAGGCAGCAGUAGGGAAUCUUCGGCAAUGGACGAAAGUCUGACCGAGCAACGCCGCGUGAGUGAAGAAGGUUUUCGGAUCGUAAAACUCUGUUGUUAGAGAAGAACAAGGAUGAGAGUAAAACGUUCAUCCCUUGACGGUAUCUAACCAGAAAGCCACGGCUAACUACGUGCCAGCCGCCGCCGUAA
RNAcentral lists this ribosomal RNA (523 nucleotides) under uncultured bacterium. Its description in RNAcentral is "partial 16S ribosomal RNA". It matches the Rfam family "Bacterial small subunit ribosomal RNA", at positions 28 to 523 of the family's 1533-position model. The record is from RNAcentral.